CCCGCCGCCACGCUGACAGUGAAGAGACCUGUGCCCCUUCCUGCAGAGCUGCAGUUUAUGGUCAAAGAGCUAGAGAGGACUGUCUCUGCACCAGCUGGUCCUUCUGUUGUUGUGCCCCGACCGACACUCAGACCAACCGCUCAUACUACGCCUGAGCCACCACACAGUCUCUCAUCUCAGCCAGCCACUGCUUCACACUUUUGCCGGAAUAAAGGGCACAGAAAUUUGUCCCCUCAAACCUGCUGUGCCCAAAGUCCUUUUGUGAUGGCUGGAGGCACAGCUGGCAUCUGUGCACCUUGUGCUGCUUGUGCUUCCGUCUACGGGUAGGAGGCACAGGCACAG
Long non-coding RNA from Solea solea (common sole), 342 nucleotides. RefSeq lists it as uncharacterized. The transcript is spliced from 3 exons. The record is from RefSeq and is a predicted model, not a curated record. Lineage: Eukaryota; Metazoa; Chordata; Actinopteri; Pleuronectiformes; Soleidae.